UGGGGAAUAUUGCACAAUGGGCGCAAGCCUGAUGCAGCCAUGCCGCGUGUGUGAAGAAGGCCUUCGGGUUGUAAAGCACUUUCAGCGAGGAGGAAGGUGGUGAGCUUAAUACGCUCAUCAAUUGACGUUACUCGCAGAAGAAGCACCGGCUAACUCCGUGCCAGCAGCCGCGGUAAUACGGAGGGUGCAAGCGUUAAUCGGAAUUACUGGGCGUAAAGCGCACGCAGGCGGUUUGUUAAGUCAGNUGUGAAAUCCCCGGGCUCAACCUGGGAACUGCAUUUGAAACUGGCAAGCUAGAGUCUCGUAGAGGGGGGUAGAAUUCCAGGUGUAGCGGUGAAAUGCGUAGAGAUCUGGAGGAAUACCGGUGGCGAAGGCGGCCCCCUGGACGAAGACUGACGCUCAGGUGCGAAAGCGUGGGGCAGCAAACAGGAUUAGAUACCCUGGUAGUCCACGCUGU
This 457-nucleotide ribosomal RNA is filed under the name uncultured bacterium. RNAcentral's name for it is "partial 16S ribosomal RNA". It matches the Rfam family "Bacterial small subunit ribosomal RNA", at positions 355 to 803 of the family's 1533-position model. The record is from RNAcentral.